GACUUAUCUACUAUUUCCAAGAUUCUAGGCACCUGUGAAUACAAAGACAGAGAAAUAAUCCCUGCCCUAAAGGAGCUGACAUUCUGUAUGGGUAUUUACCUAAGGAGAUCAACUUCAUGUAGAAGACAGUGCUUGAACUGAACUCUGAAGGAAUCUAGAAAUUCUGUGUAACAGUAGAGUUGAGAAGGCAGUGCCUUACAGGCGUGAGGCAUAGCCUGUUCAGGAGCCCAGAGAAGAGGCAGCAAGAGGAAUAUCACAAUAUCACAUUUCAGGAGAGCAAGUGUCUAGGCUUCUCAGCAUCCAGCCACCUAGAAGCCUCUGGUGCCUCGGGAAGCAAGAAGUGAUCUUUGGGAGCCAGCCCAGCAGUAGCUGAGACUAGAACACAGUCAUACUGCUUCUGGAAGUGAACUUGGUGGGACAAAUGUCAUUUUGGAACUGAGCUAAGAGAGGGAUGGAAGAGAGUUUGCUCCUUCCUUGCCUCUGGGGGUCGGGGAGAAGCAUUUGUACUUUUGUUUUUGCUGUAUCUUAGAAGUAAGUAUCCCUUUACAAAAAUUGAAGUUGGGUCGUUAAAUAGAAUGGGAGCACUAGUUACUAAUUACUAGUAUCUAACAAUGGGGCAACUGCUGGCAGGCUCAGACUGAUGGCAGGAAAGAAGAGAUGCCCACUGCCUCUUCAGAUGCCCUAGAAACCUCAAGGGGAAUGUGAGUGGCUCUGGGAAAAUGGGCCAAAGAGUUCUCACUGCAUUAGUGAUGAUACAGAUCUGUAGGAAGCAUUUUUUCUUAUUUCUGUUGUUUAUCACUGUACUUUUUGCCACAGUGGAAUGGAGGCUCUUUGAGGGAAGAUUCAGGCCAUUCUUGUCUCCCUAAAUGCAGCUUCUGACAUAGGGCCUUGUGUAUGGUAGAUGCCUAAUAAAUGUCUGUUGAGUUGAAUUGAAUUUUUCAAAAAAUAUGUGAUUCCAUUAGCCUUGAAAGCUACCUGGUGCCCAGCUGUCUAGCUAUUAUCGGAUUCUUUAUGGGAAAGAAAUGGAUCCAGGAAUUGUGGAGAUUCUAUUUUGAAGGGCAUUUUACAUGUUUUAAAUAAAACUCAAAUUCUGAGUAGUGAGCCUUAAAGAGUUGAAAAGUAAAGUGAACCAAAACAAUUCAUUUAAAAAGAACUCAUUCCAAAAUUAGUUUUCUUUGCAGAAAGAGUAUGGGGAAAAGAAGCAAGCUCCAUGCCAGUGUUAGCAAAUAAGGAAAAAGUGGGACCUCGGAAUUGCAAGGCAUGACAUUUCUUUCCUCACUGUUCCAUCUAUUUUUGUUCCCAUCAACCACUCCAGUAUUAUAAUAUAAGCAGACCUCAGAGAUAUUGCCAGUUUGCUUCCAGAUCACUGCAAUAAAGUGAAGUCACACAA
This is a long non-coding RNA of Monodelphis domestica (gray short-tailed opossum), 1390 nucleotides long. RefSeq lists it as uncharacterized. NCBI's taxonomy places the organism in Eukaryota, Metazoa, Chordata, Mammalia, Didelphimorphia, Didelphidae. The record is from RefSeq and is a predicted model, not a curated record.